Molecule: ribosomal RNA, 381 nt
Filed under: uncultured marine Chaetocerotaceae
Lineage: Eukaryota; Bacillariophyta; Thalassiosirophyceae; Chaetocerotales; Chaetocerotaceae
Description: SSU rRNA
Rfam family: Eukaryotic small subunit ribosomal RNA
Source: RNAcentral
AGCUCCAAUAGCGUAUAUUAAAGUUGCUGCAGUUAAAAAGCUCGUAGUUGCAUUUCCGAGGCAAGGGAUUAGUCCGACCUUUGGUGGGUAUUUAAUCCUCUUGCCUCGUCCUUGAGUGGUGCUUCUUGGUAUUAAGUUAUCGAGGAGAUAGCCGCUCAUCGUUUACUGUGAGAAAAUUAGAGUGUUCAAAGCAGGCUUAUGCCGUUGAAUAUAUUAGCAUGGAAUAAUAAGAUAGGACCUCUGUACUAUUUUGGUGGUUUGAGAACCAAGGUAAUGAUGAAUAGGGACAGUUGGGGGUAUUCGUAUUCAGUUGUCAGAGGUGAAAUUCUUAGAUUUACGGAAGACGAACUACUGCGAAAGCAUUUACCAAGGAUGUUUUCA